CAAAGCCUCACCUCCGCCCACCACCGGGGCUUCCGGCGGUGGGCGGGGCUUCCGGCGACGGGCGGGGCUCCCGGGGCGGGGCCGGGUGAGCCCGUGUAGCCGACCUAGGACUUCAGGCCAUAGUUGUGAGUGGCACUGCCAGAGUUACCGUUGCUGCCUGUAGGGUGGGGAAAAUACAAGAUUUCCCGCAAAAGGUGAAUUUCAAAUGAACAGCAACUUACUUUUGGGAACUGGACACACAUCUUUAAAUCACCUCAAAACUAGUAAUUCUCUGGGAGAGUCAUUAGCAAAACCAGACAUAAUAUUCACCUGGAAAACAGACUUUGAUUCAUUUGAAAGGAUAAGCCUAAACAUUGGCUAAGAUUGCUGAAGUUCCCUGGGAAACAAACCCAAGAAAUGAGGGAAAUCAUUGGUACUGAUUACAGAAACUAGUGAUGAGAUUGCAGAUACCACAUGAUUCGGAGACACGAGGUUUAUGCUGAGCAUUGAGAGAUCACCCCAGUGUGGCAUUUUAGAAAGUCCUUGGAGUAAAUGGUACAGUGGUUCUAAUAAUAACAGAAGUUACCGAGGCUGCUGUAAAGCACUGGUGUCAUCUGCCAUAAGGAUGAGUCGUCCGGACUGAGAAGCAAUGAAACGAAGAGUUUGGGAUAAACAAGCAUGAUAGUCUGGGGGAUCGGGCGAGGGCUGGCCCUCCAGAUGGCAAAGAUCCCCAGGCUGUUAGCUACAUCCAUUCUUAUCUUCCUGAGCAGAAACAGGGUUGAUGCCGUGUGCUUCCGUUCCAACAUGGUGCAGAUGCAGCUGCUCUGCACGUACCUUGGAGCAGUGGUUCUCAACCUGUGGGUUGCAAAAAAUAAUUUUAUGCCUGGGGGUCACCACACAUGAGGACCUGUAUUAAAGGGUCGCUGCUCAGAGGAUAGCAGAG
Molecule: long non-coding RNA, 922 nt
Filed under: Cricetulus griseus (Chinese hamster)
Lineage: Eukaryota; Metazoa; Chordata; Mammalia; Rodentia; Cricetidae
Description: lncRNA (ENSCGRG00015041293.1)
Source: RNAcentral